Molecule: ribosomal RNA, 199 nt
Filed under: uncultured bacterium
Lineage: Bacteria
Description: partial 16S ribosomal RNA
Rfam family: Bacterial small subunit ribosomal RNA
Source: RNAcentral
AGUCUGCAACCCGACUACAUGAAGCUGGAAUCGCUAGUAAUCGCGGAUCAGAAUGCCGCGGUGAAUACGUUCCCGGGUCUUGUACACACCGCCCGUCACACCAUGGGAGUCGGAAAUGCCCGAAGCCGGUGACCCAACCAAAAGGAGGGAGCCGUCGAAGGCAGGUCUGAUAACUGGGGUGAAGUCGUAACAAGGUACC